Molecule: transfer RNA, 69 nt
Filed under: Batracomorphus curvatus
Lineage: Eukaryota; Metazoa; Arthropoda; Insecta; Hemiptera; Cicadellidae
Description: tRNA-Gln
Rfam family: tRNA
About the family: Transfer RNA (tRNA) molecules are approximately 80 nucleotides in length. Their secondary structure includes four short double-helical elements and three loops (D, anti-codon, and T loops). Further hydrogen bonds mediate the characteristic L-shaped molecular structure. tRNAs have two regions of fundamental functional importance: the anti-codon, which is responsible for specific mRNA codon recognition, and the 3' end, to which the tRNAs corresponding amino acid is attached (by aminoacyl-tRNA synthetases). tRNAs cope with the degeneracy of the genetic code in two manners: having more than one tRNA (with a specific anti-codon) for a particular amino acid; and 'wobble' base-pairing, i.e. permitting non-standard base-pairing at the 3rd anti-codon position.
Source: RNAcentral
UGUAAAAUAUUGUUUGAUGCAUAUGGAAUUUUGAAUUCUAAGGUUAAAGUUUAAUUCUUUAUUUUUCAA